GUGCCUGUAGCUUAAUGGAUAGAGCAUCAGAUUGCGGAUCUGACGAUUGCGAGUUCAAGUCUCGCCGGGCACACCA
Molecule: transfer RNA, 76 nt
Filed under: Candidatus Levyibacteriota bacterium
Lineage: Bacteria; Candidatus Levyibacteriota
Description: tRNA-Arg
Rfam family: tRNA
About the family: Transfer RNA (tRNA) molecules are approximately 80 nucleotides in length. Their secondary structure includes four short double-helical elements and three loops (D, anti-codon, and T loops). Further hydrogen bonds mediate the characteristic L-shaped molecular structure. tRNAs have two regions of fundamental functional importance: the anti-codon, which is responsible for specific mRNA codon recognition, and the 3' end, to which the tRNAs corresponding amino acid is attached (by aminoacyl-tRNA synthetases). tRNAs cope with the degeneracy of the genetic code in two manners: having more than one tRNA (with a specific anti-codon) for a particular amino acid; and 'wobble' base-pairing, i.e. permitting non-standard base-pairing at the 3rd anti-codon position.
Source: RNAcentral